Long non-coding RNA from Paramormyrops kingsleyae, 1796 nucleotides. RefSeq lists it as uncharacterized. The record is from RefSeq and is a predicted model, not a curated record. Lineage: Eukaryota; Metazoa; Chordata; Actinopteri; Osteoglossiformes; Mormyridae.
UUUUCUGCGGCCGUAACAAACAUGGCGCCUCUAUCCAUCCAUCCAUGCAGUACCGCGGUCUGUCUUCCAGGAUCUUUAACCUGUAAAAGUUAGACCAUCCUUUUCGGAUGGAGCGGCACGCAGCACGGUACAGCAGCUCUGACAGUCAAUCACAGAAAAAACUACAGCGGGAUGUGAAGAAGGUACCCAAAACCAUUGGUGACCCACACCCCCCUUCAGCGGAGCCAUGAUGGCGGAAGCUUGUUCAGCAUCCCUCCUGAAGACCUCCGACACGCAAGCCCUGACAUGCAGCAGUGGCAAGGGCGAGAGGACAAUCGGGCUGAGGGCCACAUAGUUGAUGAGGAAAUCCAUAGGGGAUGGUGAAUGUGGAUCUUCAGUAGCUGUGCCAGCCCAGCGCCCCCCUCCCACAACGAACUUCCCAGCUGCACACACAUCCUGCUUAGUGGGGAGCUGACUUUGGUUCCACACUCUGAUGAAGGUGCUGCUGUUGGAGCAUCGUGGACGCGGCACAUUCAGCUGAGGCUUCCUUUAACAUAUGGACGAGGGCGGGAUGUUCCCACAGCGCCCUCACUCCAGGAGGGCCUCCCACCACAGCGGAGACCAAUCAAAGGCCACAUUUCCUGCUGAGCACCGAGGCAGUUCCGCUGAUAGGACGUCAUAUCGCUGAGUCGCCGCCUGUCCGGGUCAUGGCACCUUCCCCUCCUGCACACCUUACUCAAUGAGGAGGCGGCCCCCAGUGACCCCGCCCCCACCCCUGUGACAAUCAGCUGACAGGCUAGCACUAAUAACCGAAUGUAGAUCUACUUGUUUGUGGGGGGAGGCCUAGCGUGCACCGGGCCCACCCCCCCAGUCUGCUCAUUGGACAGCCUUGUAGGAGAAUUCCCUAACAGCUCUGAUCCCUCUUUAGCCAGUGGCUUAAGAAUAAAACAGCUCUAGUGAAAGUCAGAAAAAAGAAACAUGGGUGAUGCUGCAUACCACAGAGCAGCCUGCCCCCCCCCCCCCCCCAUGAAAAAUGCUGAUCCCAAACAGGGCCGUUCCCAUGGAGAGGGGGGCUGUUUCAUCACCGUCUUCCAGCUUUAUCUCUCUGUAGCCUGGAACUUUGCUUCUUCUUAGAGAGUAACUGUAUCCUUAUCUGCCCCCCCUUGCUGCGCCGCUCCCCCCAGGCAGGGCAGCCCAGCACCCAUGGCCCAUGAGUGUGAGAGCGACCUCAGGGACCUGGCUUCAUUAUCUCAUCCGGCUGUGCAGGACCACCUAAUCGGGUCGAUUAGCAGACGGCACCGGCACCUCACACACCCGUGUCUCUCAGCAGACAGUGACCCAGAUCAGUGGGCCGGGGGGAGGGGCUCCACCGCGCACCUUCCUCUGGGAGCGCUUGUAUGCUUCAGUGGACAGGCAGUGAGGAGAUAAGGCUGGGGGGGUCCCUUAUGUCUGCGGUGGGGGGAUUUCUCCCCCAUAUCUGUUAAUCAGCAGAAGAUAUGGGGGGGGGGGCUCUUUGGGGGCCUGUUCACAUUUCCCAGGGACCCCUGACCCAAAAAGGCUUUCUCUGUCUCACUGGUGCGCUUAACCACACACACAGGUGCAGACAUACCCACUGGGGUGGGCAAGGCACCCCCCAAACUGGCCAACUGAAAGCAUCACGCCCCCCCCACCGUCUGUUGUCCUCCCUUAUUACCUGGUCUCUCUCUGUCUGCUUUUCAGCCCUGUCCCUGGCCUCCAUAGCCCUCAAGGUGAAACUCAGCACCACAAUUCCUUGUAUGUGUGAACGUACUUGGCAAUAAACCCGAUUCUGAUUCUGA